GGCGCGCCGCUACGUCGCCCCCCAGGGGCGCGCUGGGCCUGGAGUCUGCGGUUUGGGGGCUUCCUCUUCCUCUGGCUGGAGAGGCCUGGCCUGGGUCCUUGUGAGAUAUGGGGACGCUAGGUCCGCCCGAAGCGGGUGGUUCGGCGCUUUCUGGGCACGGUAGCCUUGCGUCUUGGUCACUGCCUUUGAGCGAGCCGAUGUGCAGAUGCGAACGCCGAGGUUUAGAGGAUGGAACCCUUUUUCCAGGUCUGGGACUCAAGGCUCCAGGCUCCUGAUGAGCUAUCCAAGGGAGAGUUGCGUGGAUCCGUGACCUGUUCCUACACAAAGCACCUGUGGGCACCACUGCAAGAUACUGAAGUCAUCUGGGAAGGCCCUCGGUUCUGUUCCCAGGUCCAUCUGAAUACACUGGGCAGACCUAUGAUCCUGGCUGGUGGAAAGGAGGGUGAGCAGAUCAUGACAUGACAGGACCCUGUUAGGGAAUCCUACCUAUCUCACGAAAUAAGUAAAUAAACUUUUUAAAAAUCACAA
Molecule: long non-coding RNA, 528 nt
Organism: Tupaia belangeri chinensis (Chinese tree shrew)
Lineage: Eukaryota; Metazoa; Chordata; Mammalia; Scandentia; Tupaiidae
Exons: 2
Source: RefSeq, a predicted model, not a curated record